UGGGGAAUUUUGGACAAUGGGGGCAACCCUGAUCCAGCCAUCCCGCGUGUGCGAUGAAGGCCUUCGGGUUGUAAAGCACUUUUGGCAGGAAAGAAAUCGCACGGGAUAAUACCUCGUGUGGAUGACGGUACCUGCAGAAUAAGCACCGGCUAACUACGUGCCAGCAGCCGCGGUAAUACGUAGGGUGCAAGCGUUAAUCGGAAUUACUGGGCGUAAAGCGUGCGCAGGCGGUUCGGAAAGAAAGAUGUGAAAUCCCAGGGCUUAACCUUGGAACUGCAUUUUUAACUACCGGGCUAGAGUGUGUCAGAGGGGGGUGGAAUUCCGCGUGUAGCAGUGAAAUGCGUAGAUAUGCGGAGGAACACCGAUGGCGAAGGCAGCCCCCUGGGAUAACACUGACGCU
RNAcentral lists this ribosomal RNA (400 nucleotides) under uncultured bacterium. Its description in RNAcentral is "bacterial SSU rRNA". It matches the Rfam family "Bacterial small subunit ribosomal RNA", at positions 355 to 747 of the family's 1533-position model. The record is from RNAcentral.